UACGGAGGGUGCAAGCGUUAAUCGGAAUUACUGGGCGUAAAGCGCACGCAGGUGGCUGAGUCAGUCGAUUGUGAAAGCCCUGGGCUUAACCUGGAAUUGCAGUCGAUACUUCUUAGCUAGAGUAUGGGAGAGGGUAGUGGAAUUCCCGGUGUAGCGGUGAAAUGCGUAGAUAUCGGGAGGAACAUCAGUGGCGAAGGCGGCUACCUGGCCCAAUACUGACACUCAGGUGCGACAGCGUGGGGAGCAAACAGG
Molecule: ribosomal RNA, 252 nt
Filed under: uncultured bacterium
Lineage: Bacteria
Description: partial 16S ribosomal RNA
Rfam family: Bacterial small subunit ribosomal RNA
Source: RNAcentral